UUUCCGUAGGUGAACCUGCGGAAGGAUCAUUAUUGUAUAACCGAGGUGCGAGGGCUGUCGCUGACCCGAAAGGUCGUGCACGCCCGAGUGCCCUCACACACAUCCAUCUCACCCCUAUGUGCACCACCGCGUGGGUCCCCCUUUGGCUUGUUCGGAGGGGGGCUUACGUUUUCACACAAACUUGUAUGCAGUGUAGAAUGUAUUUUUUGUUUUUGCGAUCACGCAAUCAAUACAACUUUCAACAACGGAUCUCUUGGCUCUCGCAUCGAUGAAGACGCAGC
RNAcentral lists this unclassified non-coding RNA (281 nucleotides) under plant metagenome. Its description in RNAcentral is "partial contains small subunit ribosomal RNA, internal transcribed spacer 1, and 5.8S ribosomal RNA". The stretch from base 234 to 281 matches the Rfam family "5.8S ribosomal RNA", at positions 1 to 49 of the family's 154-position model. The record is from RNAcentral.